GGAACGUCACGGUGUAGAGAUACGCCUUUCCCUUCGGGGACAGCGGUGACAGGUGGUGCAUGGUUGUCGUCAGCUCGUGUCGUGAGAUGUUGGGUUAAGUCCCGCAACGAGCGCAACCCUUGAUCUUAGUUGCCAGCAUUUAGUUGGGCACUCUAAGGUGACUGCCGGUGACAAACCGGAGGAAGGUGGGGAUGACGUCAAAUCAUCAUGCCCCUUAUGACCUGGGCUACACACGUGCUACAAUGGACGAUACAGAGGGUUGCCAACCCGCGAGGGGGAGCCAAUCCCAUAAAACCGUUCCCAGUUCGGAUUGCAGGCUGCAACUCGCCUGCAUGAAGCCGGAAUCGCUAGUAAUCGUGGAUCAGCAUGCCACGGUGAAUACGUUCCCGGGUCUUGUACACACCGAA
This 407-nucleotide ribosomal RNA is filed under the name Sporosarcina soli. RNAcentral describes it as "bacterial SSU rRNA". It matches the Rfam family "Bacterial small subunit ribosomal RNA", at positions 991 to 1394 of the family's 1533-position model. Lineage: Bacteria; Bacillati; Bacillota; Bacilli; Caryophanales; Caryophanaceae. The record is from RNAcentral.